CCUACGGGUGGCAGCAGUGAGGAAUAUUGGUCAAUGGGCGCGAGCCUGAACCAGCCAAGUAGCGUGAAGGAUGACUGCCCUACGGGUUGUAAACUUCUUUUAUAAAGGAAUAAAGUGAGGCACGUGUGCCUUGUGGGAUGGACUUUAUGAAUAAGGAUCGGCUAACUCCGUGCCAGCAGCCGCGGUAAUACGGAGGAUCCGAGCGUUAUCCGGAUUUAUGGGGUUUAACGGGAGCGUAGAGGGGUUGUUAAGUCAGUGGGGAAAGUUUGCGGCUCAACCGUAAAAUUGCAUUUGAUACUGGCAGUCUUGCGUACAGUUGAGGUAGGCGGAAUUCGUGGUGUAGCGGU
RNAcentral lists this ribosomal RNA (347 nucleotides) under uncultured bacterium. RNAcentral describes it as "partial 16S ribosomal RNA". It matches the Rfam family "Bacterial small subunit ribosomal RNA", at positions 338 to 682 of the family's 1533-position model. The record is from RNAcentral.